This 389-nucleotide ribosomal RNA is filed under the name uncultured bacterium. RNAcentral describes it as "bacterial SSU rRNA". It matches the Rfam family "Bacterial small subunit ribosomal RNA", at positions 29 to 418 of the family's 1533-position model. The record is from RNAcentral.
AUUGAACGCUGGCGGCAUGCCUUACACAUGCAAGUCGAACGGCAGCACGGGUGCUUGCACCUGGUGGCGAGUGGCGAACGGGUGAGUAAUAUAUCGGAACGUACCUUAUCGUGGGGGAUAACGCAGCGAAAGCUGCGCUAAUACCGCAUACGCCCUGAGGGGGAAAGCGGGGGACCGUAAGGCCUCGCGCGAUUAGAGCGGCCGAUAUCUGAUUAGCUUGUCGGUGGGGUAAAGCCCACCAAGGCGACGAUCAGUAGCUGGUCUGAGAGGACGAUCAGCCACACUGGGACUGAGACACGGCCCAGACUCCUACGGGAGGCAGCAGUGGGGAAUUUUGGACAAUGGGGGAAACCCUGAUCCAGCCAUGCCGCGUGAGUGAAGAAGGCCUC